This 460-nucleotide ribosomal RNA is filed under the name uncultured bacterium. RNAcentral's name for it is "bacterial SSU rRNA". It matches the Rfam family "Bacterial small subunit ribosomal RNA", at positions 89 to 547 of the family's 1533-position model. The record is from RNAcentral.
UGACGAGUGGCGCACGGGUGAGUAACGCGUACACAACAUGCCUCUAACAGGGAGAUAUACUUGGGAAACUGAGGGCAAUACCCCAUAAUAUCAUAAUACUGCAUGGUAUAAUGAUUAAAGAUUUAUCGGUUAGAGAUUGGUGUGCGUCCCAUUAGUUAGUUGGUAAGGUAACGGCUUACCAAGACGAUGAUGGGUAGGGGGCGUGAGAGCGUGGACUCCCACACGGGUACUGAGACACGGACCCGACUCCUACGGGAGGCAGCAGUAAGGAAUAUUGGUCAAUGGAGGGAACUCUGAACCAGCCAUGCCGCGUGCAGGAUGAAGGCCCUCUGGGUCGUAAACUGCUUUUAUUAGGGAAGAAUAGCAGAUAUUUAUAUUUGUGUGACGGUACCUAAAGAAUAAGCACCGGCUAACUCCGUGCCAGCAGCCGCGGUAAUACGGAGGGUGCAAGCGUUAUCCG